Molecule: ribosomal RNA, 254 nt
Filed under: uncultured bacterium
Lineage: Bacteria
Description: partial 16S ribosomal RNA
Rfam family: Bacterial small subunit ribosomal RNA
Source: RNAcentral
UACGUAGGGGGCAAGCGUUGUCCGGAAUCACUGGGCUUAAAGGGCGCGUAGGCGGUCCGUCAAGUCAGGGGUGAAAUCCUGCAGCUUAACUGUAGAAGUGCCUCUGAUACUGACGGUCUUGAGGGAGAUAGGGGUGUGCGGAACUUCCAGUGGAGCGGUGAAAUGCGUUGAUAUUGGAAGGAACGCCGGAGGCGAAAGCGGCGCACUGGAUCUCUUCUGACGCUGAGGCGCGAAAGCUAGGGGAGCAAACGGGG